GAAUCUUUACUAAAAAAAUCAAAUGUAAUAACAAAAUAAUUUUUGACAAAAUUAAGUGUAUAAAACAUUUCUCACAUUUUAAUAGUUUUACUGGAGUGUUAUGUGACCUUGUGUACUCAAAGUUUAUGUCAAAUCUACAAUGAAGACUAAUCGUGUAAAUGUUCUGUUUAAUCUACAGAGUACCACAAAGUUUCAGAAGAAAAAGCAUAUUUUUGUUUUUAAGUUGGUGAGCAUAGAACAGACCUUUUUGUGUUUCCUGGAGCCGUGAAGAACCAGACAAACAAACUACUUUUGAAACAGCAGAAGUUGUUUAACAGGUACCAUGAGUGAACCAGCGGAGAAAACCGAAACUUCUCAGUCCUCAAAUGAUGGUCUGCUUGAAGAACAUGACAAGUGCAACCAACCUCAGAGAAUUGAAGUGGAAAGAGAAGAUUCUUCAUCAAACUUUCUGUCAGGGAGAAGUAACACAUCCAUGGAUUUUCCACUCAAUUUUAAAGAAAAGAAAGGAUCACAAAUAAUUGAAGUGGAAAGAGAAGAUUCUUCAUCAAACUUUCUGUCAGGGAGAAGUAACACAUCCAUGGAUUUUCCACUCAAUUUUAAAGAAGAGAAAGGAUCACAAAUGAUUAACCAGAAUAUUCCAGGAGGUCAAACAGGACAAGGAAAAAUGGUUCUUAAGGAAAACAAUUUAGUUUCAGAAGACACAGGUAAAG
This 710-nucleotide long non-coding RNA is filed under the name Oryzias javanicus (javanese ricefish). RNAcentral describes it as "lncRNA (ENSOJAG00000002366.1)". The record is from RNAcentral. Lineage: Eukaryota; Metazoa; Chordata; Actinopteri; Beloniformes; Adrianichthyidae.